GACGAACGCUGGCGGCGUGCCUAAUACAUGCAAGUCGAACGAACUCUGGUAUUGAUUGGUGCUUGCAUCAUGAUUUACAUUUGAGUGAGUGGCGAACUGGUGAGUAACACGUGGGAAACCUGCCCAGAAGCGGGGGAUAACACCUGGAAACAGAUGCUAAUACCGCAUAACAACUUGGACCGCAUGGUCCGAGUUUGAAAGAUGGCUUCGGCUAUCACUUUUGGAUGGUCCCGCGGCGUAUUAGCUAGAUGGUGGGGUAACGGCUCACCAUGGCAAUGAUACGUAGCCGACCUGAGAGGGUAAUCGGCCACAUUGGGACUGAGACACGGCCCAAACUCCUACGGGAGGCAGCAGUAGGGAAUCUUCCACAAUGGACGAAAGUCUGAUGGAGCAACGCCGCGUGAGUGAAGAAGGGUUUCGGCUCGUAAAACUCUGUUGUUGAAGAAGAACAUAUCUGAGAGUAACUGUUCAGGUAUUGACGGUAUUUAACCAGAAAGCCACGGCUAACUACGUGCCAGCAGCCGCGGUAAUACGUAGGUGGCAAGCGUUGUCCGGAUUUAUUGGGCGUAAAGCGAGCGCAGGCGGUUUUUUAAGUCUGAUGUGAAAGCCUUCGGCUCAACCGAAGAAGUGCAUCGGAAACUGGGAAACUUGAGUGCAGAAGAGGACAGUGGAACUCCAUGUGUAGCGGUGAAAUGCGUAGAUAUAUGGAAGAACACCAGUGGCGAAGGCGGCUGUCUGGUCUGUAACUGACGCUGAGGCUCGAAAGUAUGGGUAGCAAACAGGAUUAGAUACCCUGGUAGUCCAUACCGUAAACGAUGAAUGCUAAGUGUUGGAGGGUUUCCGCCCUUCAGUGCUGCAGCUAACGCAUUAAGCAUUCCGCCUGGGGAGUACGGCCGCAAGGCUGAAACUCAAAGGAAUUGACGGGGGCCCGCACAAGCGGUGGAGCAUGUGGUUUAAUUCGAAGCUACGCGAAGAACCUUACCAGGUCUUGACAUACUAUGCAAAUCUAAGAGAUUAGACGUUCCCUUCGGGGACAUGGAUACAGGUGGUGCAUGGUUGUCGUCAGCUCGUGUCGUGAGAUGUUGGGUUAAGUCCCGCAACGAGCGCAACCCUUAUUAUCAGUUGCCAGCAUUAAGUUGGGCACUCUGGUGAGACUGCCGGUGACAAACCGGAGGAAGGUGGGGAUGACGUCAAAUCAUCAUGCCCCUUAUGACCUGGGCUACACACGUGCUACAAUGGAUGGUACAACGAGUUGCGAACUCGCGAGAGUAAGCUAAUCUCUUAAAGCCAUUCUCAGUUCGGAUUGUAGGCUGCAACUCGCCUACAUGAAGUCGGAAUCGCUAGUAAUCGCGGAUCAGCAUGCCGCGGUGAAUACGUUCCCGGGCCUUGUACACACCGCCCGUCACACCAUGAGAGUUUGUAACACCCAAAGUCGGUGGGGUAACCUUUUAGGAACCAGCCGCCUAAGGUGGGACAGAUGAUUAGGGUG
RNAcentral lists this ribosomal RNA (1489 nucleotides) under Lactiplantibacillus pentosus. RNAcentral describes it as "bacterial SSU rRNA". It matches the Rfam family "Bacterial small subunit ribosomal RNA". The record is from RNAcentral. Lineage: Bacteria; Bacillati; Bacillota; Bacilli; Lactobacillales; Lactobacillaceae.